Herpailurus yagouaroundi (jaguarundi) is the source of this 1911-nucleotide long non-coding RNA. RefSeq lists it as uncharacterized. The transcript has 3 exons. The record is from RefSeq and is a predicted model, not a curated record. NCBI's taxonomy places the organism in Eukaryota, Metazoa, Chordata, Mammalia, Carnivora, Felidae.
GUUUCCGAGGCGCGAGUCAGAGUUGGCGAAGGAUCGCUUUCUUGGCUGUGACUUUUCCCGCGUGGAGUUGUCUCUCGCCAAAUACGGAUAUUUUUAGAGCGAUUUCUGGAGAGAGUCGAAAAUUCGCUGUCUUCACGGAGCUCAACUUCCAGUAGAAAGACAGUAAGAAACAUACUAAGUAAGUCUCAAGCCUUGAGGACUGAAGCUGAAGCAGACCCUUUGGGACAACAUAACUACGUAAAUCAACUGAACUGUCAUCCCCACCCUUGCAACAUCAAUCACCGUAGGAGACUUUCCCCUCUCUUAUGCCUACCCCAGGGUCUAGCGAGGUCCUAGUGUGGAUACAGGGAAGCCAGUUUCUCAAAUGACCAUUUCAAAGUCUGAAUCGGUGGCCCCAAUUUUUAAGUGCUUUCUGAAAGGCAGGCUUUGCUCAACCAACUGAGCCACCCCGGUGCCCCUCAUCCUUUCAAAUAUCAACCUAAAGUGCUUAUAUGUGUGGGUGGAAUCCACUCCUAACUCGAAACCACGGUUAAGAUGAUAAAGAUGAGGAAAAGUAACAUUGCCAAACCUGUAAGGCCGUGUAGUAACGAAAUUAAAGGCAAGUGGGGUGAGGUGUGACGGUGGGGGAAGGGAUGGGUUCUUGUUUACUCAUUCUAAAUACAAGACCGAUUUCAUCUCCAGUGAAAGAGAUCAGCCCAAGAUGAAUGAACGUCCCUCUCACAGUGUUAUCAGCAUUAUAAUAGCAACGUCCGCUGACGUGCACACACUACGAUACCAGCCUUACCUACAUGGCUUCGUUGAAUCCAAACAGCCAGCCUAAGUGGUAAAUGCUUUUAUUAGCUCUAUUUUACAACUGAGGAAACUGGGCCUUACAGGAAGGUUAAGUAAAUUAUCCAAAGUUAGCACAGCUAGUAAGUAAUUGGUAGAGGGAGGAUCAGAACCUCGCUAUUCUCAAUCUACCAUACUGAAAAGCCUCAUUUCUUCAACUGGAAACCUGUUACCGAUCAUGGGCUACGUUCCAGGGUUACUUCUAUGGCCUGCGCCUUUUUCAACCAGUAUGGAGGUGCUUUUAUAGGGCAUUCACAAAGACCUAAUGACCACACAAUCACCAGAGCUUAGUCACUGGGUCUCCCAAAGAUCCUUUCUCUUUCAAUGUUGCCACCGACAAACUGUGACACCGGAAAAUGUUUCUUCGAUGGGUACUUUUAAUCUUGAAGGGAAACUUCCUCCGUGCAAAAAUGUACAAAUUACAGACUCUUAUUGUCCAUACCCUAGACAAUACCUUCUUAUCUCGGGUGAAAUCUGCCAUGUGAGCAAAGGGAACUGAUUUUUAUCGUCAGGUGCCUGCCCCCAGUCUUUGGAUCAGAGUUUGCUUGCGUUUUCUUUCUGAGAUACAGAAAGUUAAGAGAGAACAGAUGUUCAUCUUAAGCUCUAAUUCGAUUUAGACUUUAUUUUAGAAUCAAGUUCCAAGUAAACAAGUAGCUAAUAAGCUCUUCUUUACACAACACUUCAAGCUGUAUGGAUAUAAAAUAAAAAAUAAAAAAUAAAAUAAAAUAAAACUUCUGUUCUGAACCUAAUUAGGAUAUAUAUUCAUAUGUCAUUGUAAGAGAGCUAGGAAAUAUGGACCUUGAAGGAGAAGAAAGGUAGAGGCUAACAGAAAGAGAUCAGCAGGUAGGUAUGGGAAGCUUAUUCCAAGCAGAGAUCACAACUUUGAGCACAGGCUAGUAGAUGAGAGACUGGAUAUACUGGAUUUUGGACUAGAAGAUUAAUGUGGACAAAGCUUGGGCACAUGGGAGAAGGCAAGAAGAAAGAUGUAGCAGAGGCUAAGGCUGUCAAGGAGGUAAGAGCCAAAUUCUGUAAGACUCUGAAUACCAGACAGAAUAGGUAGAAUGUUAAAAAAAAAAAAAAAAA